RNAcentral lists this long non-coding RNA (1038 nucleotides) under Coturnix japonica (Japanese quail). RNAcentral's name for it is "lncRNA (ENSCJPG00005010584.1)". The record is from RNAcentral. Lineage: Eukaryota; Metazoa; Chordata; Aves; Galliformes; Phasianidae.
AUGGAACAGUAUAUGGAAUCCAUGCAUUUAUAAAAAUAUGUACAAUGCAUAAUGUAUUACUUACAUGCUUUGGGCAAUAAGAGGAACAGUAUGCUUCACCAGCUUGCCAAAGCGUGGACUCCUGAAGCCAUGGUGUUAACUCAAGUCCUGCAUCUUCAGACUAAGACUUCUGAGAGGCCAUUUACAAUACUGGGUUUCUCUAGAGGAGCAGGAAGAAAGUUUCAUUGUUUAUAUAUAAUCACCUGGCUUUUGUGAUGCUUCUGCACUAACACUUGUUCAGAAAAAAAAACUUCAGCAGCUCUUAUUUUUUAAACUUAACCUGAUAGAGGAUCAGAUCUUGCACACUGCUCUUUAGUUAGCUGUAUAAAUUGCUUUGGCUUGUACAAGGAGAUUUAAGUAGUAGCUUUCCCUCUUGUAACUACACUGCUUCACUGUUGAUGUCCACUGCAAAUCAGUGCCCUAUUUCUCCAUCAGCCUUUCAAAUACAGAGCACAAUCUUCAUUCUAAAUCAGUUGGGAGGAGGUGAUGGUGUGUCAUUGUUUCCUAGACUUAUACAAAGCAGCCAAGAAACCAGAUUGCAGACAGUAAUGCGAGAGAUAUUUGCCUGAUAACAAGAUCUAAUUUGUACACACGUGUCAAAAUGUUUGUACACUUUCUGCAGGAAGACUUGUGCUUGUGUAAAGCUUCACAGGAGAGCUGCUUCAAAAGUAACACCUCCCAUUUUAUGCUGAGCUAUGACGUAAGAGGCGAAUGUUAGUAGUAUGGCAGUACAGGCUGAACCUUCCCACCAGUAUUCUGUUACAUUUUGUUGCUGUGCAACAGAUGGCAGCAGAUGGGCUGACAAAAUGGCAUCUGACAUGGAAGUACACAUGGAGCAAAGGUGUGUCACUGAAUUCCUCUGUGUGGAAAAAGUAGCUGAUAUUCAUUCAUGCUUGCUGAAUGUUUAUGGAGACUAAUCAGUGGAUGUGAGCACAAUGAAGCAGUAGGUAGAGUAUUUCAGCACUGGUGACAACAGUGUAAAGGAUAAGCCACAUUUUG